Long non-coding RNA from Daphnia pulex (common water flea), 733 nucleotides. RefSeq lists it as uncharacterized. The record is from RefSeq and is a predicted model, not a curated record. The transcript is spliced from 4 exons. Lineage: Eukaryota; Metazoa; Arthropoda; Branchiopoda; Diplostraca; Daphniidae.
GAGAAAAGAGUCGUGUGGCCGUCGUGCCUACUGUUACUGUAAACUAUUUUGUUCAAAAUCAUUGUAUUCUACUGAUUCUACUAAAAUAUGCCAUCGAAAUGAUACAGGAUUCAUCAUAAUUAAUACCUGUUGUUUGUAUUGGAGUAAUUCGACUUGCUAGAUCACCAGCCCCAGCAUGGACCAUUAUCUCAUUCCAUCUUCUAGAGAACCUUGGAUAACUGAUUGCUGGUUUCAUGUGUUCUAAACUACAGGUUUCUAAAUUGGCAUGACAGACUUUAUGAGAAGUCAUGUUGGUAUCGUCGUGUUCUUUCAAGAAAAAGGACAAGGACUAUUCAGUCAACAAAGUUCCUUGUUAGUUGUUUGCUAACCUGUUGGCUGCUACCCUUGAAUCUCCCUUUUUACUUCCUUUACAUGGCCCUCUUGAUUUGAGGGUAAUCUUUCGCUACUUGGCAUGGACUUCAUCUUCAUUCACUCGUGAAAAUCAACAAGAGAAUGCUGUAAUUCAAGACUGAUAAAUUGUGUAGUUGUUAGAUAAAUUUCAAGUCAUAUCUGGGCUUCCUUCUUUUCUGUGGCGGCCCCGUUCUAUCGCUCUCGUAAUUAUGUUCCUCAACCCCCUGCCUUGAUUAGCUGCCUGCAAGUCCUUAUAGAUCAAUUCUGGUUGUUGGAUUGCCUAAUUCCGCAUCCAGAAUGUAACUAUAUUGAACUUGCAAAUAAAGACAAGGUUUGAACCGGA